AGCAGCCGCGGUAAUUCCAGCUCCAAUAGCGUAUAUUAAAGUUGUUGCAGUUAAAAAGCUCGUAGUUGAAUUUCGGGAUCAAAUUGUCGGUCGUGCCUCGGUACGUACUGGCGUUAUUGGUUCCUCCCUUCUGAAGAACCGCGAUGUCAUUAAUUUGGUGUCGCGGGGAAUCAGGACUGUUACUUUGAAAAAAUUAGAGUGUUUAAAGCAGGCUCGCGCUUGAAUACAUUAGCAUGGAAUAAUGAAAUAGGACGUUUGAUUCUAUUUUGUUGGUUUCUAGGAUCGACGUAAUGAUUAAUAGGGAUAGUUGGGGGCAUUAGUAUUCAAUUGUCAGAGGUGAAAUUCUUGGAUUUAUUGAAGACUAACUACUGCGAAAGCAUUUGCCAAGGAUGUUUUCAUUAAUCAAGAACGAAAGUUAGGGGAUCGAAGACGAUCAGAUACCGUCGUAGUCUUAACCAUAAACUAUGCCGACUAGGGAUCGGAUGAUGUUAAUUUUUUAAUGACUCAUUCGGCGCCUUAC
RNAcentral lists this ribosomal RNA (520 nucleotides) under uncultured Glomus. RNAcentral's name for it is "SSU rRNA". It matches the Rfam family "Eukaryotic small subunit ribosomal RNA", at positions 569 to 1091 of the family's 1831-position model. The record is from RNAcentral. Lineage: Eukaryota; Fungi; Glomeromycota; Glomeromycetes; Glomerales; Glomeraceae.